Molecule: non-coding RNA, 45 nt
Filed under: Schistosoma margrebowiei
Lineage: Eukaryota; Metazoa; Platyhelminthes; Trematoda; Strigeidida; Schistosomatidae
Source: RNAcentral
AUUGAUCUGACGAGUCCCAAACAGGACGAAACGCGCGUCCUGGAU